AAGGAAGUGAGAAAUUGGCAAACUGAGGUAAUUUAGGUUUAUCUGAUCGAGAGAUCUUGCAGGUUCAAGUCCUGUCUUCCUUA
Molecule: non-coding RNA, 83 nt
Organism: Thielaviopsis punctulata
Lineage: Eukaryota; Fungi; Ascomycota; Sordariomycetes; Microascales; Ceratocystidaceae
Source: Rfam